Molecule: long non-coding RNA, 728 nt
Filed under: Sinocyclocheilus anshuiensis
Lineage: Eukaryota; Metazoa; Chordata; Actinopteri; Cypriniformes; Cyprinidae
Description: lncRNA (ENSSANG00000041573.1)
Source: RNAcentral
AGAAGAAACAUUCCAUGACGUCACAGUGCCAGGAGUUGUGCCAUGUAGAUGAACGCUCGUAGAUUGAUUGAUCACCAUUCGAUUCAGUGGCAUUCGGAGUAGAAGCGAAGAUUAUCACCUGAGAAAACACUCCCAAAUUUGCCCAUAGAGCGACUUUUACAACGCUUCAGUGCAGAAGAAGAAAUGCAUCAGUGGGUUUUUUUUAAAGAAUGUGGCAGACUGUAAAAAGUGCAACACAAAACAAUGAAGUGGGCCCUCUUCCGCCACGGCCUAACACACAUUUAGUGGGCCCUCAGCCAGAUCCAUCUGUUCUCGAGCCAGUGGCUCAACAGGUUCCAACCGAUCCUCAACCAGAUCAAUCCAAACUUAAAUCAAUGGCUCUGCAGGAUCCAGAUUAUCCUCAACCAGGUCCAUCUGUCCUCAUGCCCACAGCUCUGCAGAAUCCAGUUGUUCCUCGUACAUUGCCACCUUGGCCUGUCCAGAGUGCUUUCAGGCGAAGAAGACGCAUUGGAGAUCCAGUUCCAUACAUCCCUCCAGCUACUCUUCCAUUUGGUGAACUUUAUGAAUGGGGAAGGUUAAUUGGAAAAGGAGGCAAUGGCUCUGUGUAUGAGGGGAUCCGGAAAUCUGAUGGCCAGAAGGUCGCCAUCAAAUUUAUUCCAAAGAGGACAAGCGACAAUAAUAUAAAAAUUGUAAGUUGGCAAAACUUUAUAAAUAUAUCUAAAUGAAUC